UGCGCGCAGGGGUUGCAAGACCAGACCACUUAUUUUCUUAUUAUUGAACCAAAUAAGUUUCUGGAAUUGUAGCUUCUGCGUUGCUA
Molecule: microRNA precursor, 86 nt
Filed under: Manduca sexta (tobacco hornworm)
Lineage: Eukaryota; Metazoa; Arthropoda; Insecta; Lepidoptera; Sphingidae
Description: mir-9571 microRNA precursor family
Rfam family: mir-9571 microRNA precursor family
Source: Rfam by way of RNAcentral